GAAAGUAAGGUUGUAUAGUAAAAUAGCAAAGGUGUGGACUAAAAACGCCAAUUCCAUAAAGUAAUGUGGUAAGAACUUGAUGCGUCACAUUUGGUAAGUGUCAGCGAUCAAAAGUGGCAAACCCUUGAAACCUUUAUGGCUAGUAGUAAAGAAUAUCAAUGCCAAAGGACCAAAAGUGCCAACUCCACAAACUAAUGUGAUAGAAAGUUGAGGAGGGACCGAAAGUGACAAAGUGUUGAAACUUUUUGUGGCAAAACUUUACGGACAUUUUUUGUAAUUUUACUUCAAGGAUACUGAGCUAUGCCGACGACACCUAAGCCGGCGACGAACGUCAUCGCUACAGGUCUCUCUAUCCCGACGACUUGUCGUCGCCAUAUAUUUUGCAACAUUUGACCAAUUUCCUUUGACCACGAUAUAUGUGCCGACGACAUGUCGUCGCUACAAGUAUGGCGGGAAUGACGAAAAUGUUCGCGGUAUUCUGAAAAUCUGUACCGACAACACGUCGUCGGGAUAGCAAAAGACGAAACAUCAUUGUUUAUAACGGACCCUAUACCGACGACAUGUCGUCGGCAUAGGGAGUUACCCUAAAAAAGACGCAGACUUCCUUCAUUUGCACACAACGACGUAGUUACUUCACUCCUCCGACGAAAAUCACAUUUCAACUCCCAUCACCGGCAAUUAACCCCAGAGUAGUUCACCAGUGGUAAAGCACCAUCGCCCGUUUUCCUAUCUCAAGCUUCCCACCGACGAGUUGUUCAUUGGCGACCCCGUUCCAGCCACCACCGAAGUUGUUCACUGGUGGGUUUUUCAACCUUGUUCAUUUUUUUUUUCUGAUUUUAUUUAUUUCCUGUGGCCACCAGCCACCAACGGAGGAUUACCAUCGACUUUGACUAGCCUAGUCCGUCCAUCACAGCAAGAAAACGAAACACAGGUUAGUUUUUUAUUUUUCUAAUUUUUUUUUGAAAUUGA
This is a long non-coding RNA of Lactuca sativa (garden lettuce), 969 nucleotides long. RefSeq lists it as uncharacterized. The record is from RefSeq and is a predicted model, not a curated record. Lineage: Eukaryota; Viridiplantae; Streptophyta; Magnoliopsida; Asterales; Asteraceae.